Molecule: ribosomal RNA, 501 nt
Filed under: uncultured bacterium
Lineage: Bacteria
Description: partial 16S ribosomal RNA
Rfam family: Bacterial small subunit ribosomal RNA
Source: RNAcentral
AUUGAGCGCUGGCGGCAGGCUUAACACAUGCAAGUCGAGCGGAGAUGAGGUGCUUGCACCUUAUCUUAGCGGCGGACGGGUGAGUAAUGCUUAGGAAUCUGCCUAUUAGUGGGGGACAACAUUCCGAAAGGAAUGCUAAUACCGCAUACGUCCUACGGUAGAAAGCAGGGGAUCUUCGGACCUUGCGCUAAUAGAUGAGCCUAAGUCGGAUUAGCUAGUUGGUGGGGUAAAGGCCUACCAAGGCGACGAUCUGUAGCGGGUCUGAGAGGAUGAUCCGCCACACUGGGACUGAGACACGGCCCAGACUCCUACGGGAGGCAGCAGUGGGGAAGAGUGGACAAUGGGGGGAACCCUGAUACAGCCAUGCCGCGUGUGUGAAGAAGGCCUUAUGGUUGUAAAGCACUUUAAGCGAGGAGGAGGCUACUGAGACUAAUACUCUUGGAUAGUGGACGUUACUCGCAGAAUAAGCACCGGCUAACUCUGUGCCAGCAGCCGCGGUAA